RNAcentral lists this ribosomal RNA (289 nucleotides) under uncultured bacterium. Its description in RNAcentral is "partial 16S ribosomal RNA". It matches the Rfam family "Bacterial small subunit ribosomal RNA", at positions 29 to 334 of the family's 1533-position model. The record is from RNAcentral.
AACGAACGCUGGCGGCAUGCCUCAUACAUGCAAGUCGAACGCGAAAGCACCUUCGGGUGUGAUUAGAGUGGCAAACGGGUGCGUAACACGUGGGAAUCUACCUUUCGGUUCGGAAUAGCCCCGGGAAACUGGGAAUAAUACCGGAUACGGUCUACGGACGAAAGAUUUAUCGCCGAAAGAUGAGCCCGCGUCUGAUUAGCUUGUUGGUAAGGUAAUGGCUUACCAAGGCUACGAUCAGUAGCUGGUCUGAGAGGAUGAUCAGCCACACUGGGACUGAGAUACGGCCCAG